UACGGAGGGUGCAAGCGUUAUCCGGAUUCACUGGGCUUAAAGGGUGCGUAGGUGGACAGGUAAGUCAGUGGUGAAAUCCCCGAGCUUAACUCGGGAACUGCCGUUGAUACUAUCUGUCUUGAAUAUCGCGGAGGUAAGCGGAAUAUGUCAUGUAGCGGUGAAAUGCUUAGAUAUGACAUAGAACACCGAUUGCGAAGGCAGCUUACUACACGAUCAUUGACACUGAGGCACGAAAGCGUGGGGAGCAAACAGG
This 253-nucleotide ribosomal RNA is filed under the name uncultured bacterium. Its description in RNAcentral is "partial 16S ribosomal RNA". It matches the Rfam family "Bacterial small subunit ribosomal RNA", at positions 524 to 776 of the family's 1533-position model. The record is from RNAcentral.